RNAcentral lists this long non-coding RNA (1279 nucleotides) under Marmota monax (woodchuck). The record is from RNAcentral. Lineage: Eukaryota; Metazoa; Chordata; Mammalia; Rodentia; Sciuridae.
GACUCCCAUGAGCUAGGCCUACCCCAAAUCUCAGACUGUGAACUUGUCUGGAAUAAGGAGCUUUGAGAUAUAAUUAAGGAAGGAUAAAGAUGAGAUCAUUAUAGAUGGGGGUGGGGGGUGCUAAGUCUGAAGACCAGGGUCCUAGAAGAGAUGAGGAGAAAACAUGGAGCUGCCCUCAGAGAAGAGGCCACAUGAAGAUGAGGCAGAGAUCAGAGGCUCCCCAAGGCAGAGCAUGCCAGGAGCCCCCAGAAGCUGAAGGAGGCAGGAAGGGAUCCUCCCUGGAGGCCCUCCCCACAGCUCGGGUUUGGAUUCCUGGCCCCUAGAACUGUGGGAGAAUAACUUGCUGCUGCCUGGAGCCACCUAUCUUGUGGUCACUUGUUACAGCAGUCCCAGGAAGCUUACGUGGUGAAGCAUGUCUAGCUUCUCAGCGAGGUGAAGCAGGAGGAAGUCUGGGACAGAGUCCGGCAGUGAGUGGGCUGACCUUAGGGCCUGGCCACCAUGAAGCCACUGCCCAGGUAGGAAGAGACAAGGCCUACUUCUCAGGAUCUGGUUUUCGCUUCCUAGAAGGCCCAUCUGCCUGGAUCGGCUUGCCUGGAAGGCUUCGGUGGCCCGCCCUAGUUGGAAUGUCUGCAGCAGGUCAGGAGGAUGGAGCUCUCCGGGCAGAGGAGGGUUGGCCAUCCUGUAGGCAGCAGGUCUUCUCCAUCCUUGAGGACUCUCUGGCUCUUUAAGACCGAGCCUGGCUCUGGCCUGGGUUAGAGCUCUAGAGCCACCAACCAGCAGCGUGGCCUGGGCAAGUACCUUGGGCCUCAGUUUCCUUUCUGCACAGUGAGGAUGAUAAGGAUGUUACCUGGGAGAGUGAGUGUCUGGGAAGAUUAAGUGAAGGCUUGUACUAGAUUCCAGACAGUGCUGGGUCACGGUGACGCUCCAUGAAGGUCAGCAAAGUAGCAUCAAUAGCAGAAACAGUAGUUAGGUUAGGGUGUUGUCACUAUGAGAGAAAAAGAACCUGUAUAUUAGUGGUCCUAAAACCUGAAUGAACAAGGCGUGGGACGGGGAAGUACAGGGAAAUGAAAUGGAGCAAAUCACAUUACAUGCAUGUGUGACUAUGUCACAACGAACCCCACGAUUAUGAACAAUUAUAAUGCACUAAUAAAAACAUAACAAAAAAAGAAAUGGAGAAAACUUGAAUGAAGAUAUCUACAUCCCAGGUACUUUGUUAAAAAUGAAGACUCUCUGGUCUUGCCAUCAAAGUUUGAUUCAAUAGGCUUGACAGGGGACCCAG